Molecule: microRNA precursor, 79 nt
Filed under: Strigamia maritima
Lineage: Eukaryota; Metazoa; Arthropoda; Chilopoda; Geophilomorpha; Linotaeniidae
Description: microRNA mir-31
Rfam family: mir-31 microRNA precursor family
Source: RNAcentral
UUGAGUUCAUGUUAGGCAAGAUGUUGGCAUAGCUGAGAUGAAUAAAUGCCAGCUGUGCUGCAUCGAGCCCACCUUGAAU